This 247-nucleotide ribosomal RNA is filed under the name uncultured bacterium. RNAcentral describes it as "partial 16S ribosomal RNA". It matches the Rfam family "Bacterial small subunit ribosomal RNA", at positions 523 to 769 of the family's 1533-position model. The record is from RNAcentral.
AAACGUAGGGGGCAAGCGUUGUUCGGAAUUACUGGGCGUAAAGCGCGUGUAGGCGGUCUGGCAAGUCGGAAGUGAAAGCCCUCGGCCCAACCGGGGAACUGCUUUCGAAACUGCCAGGCUUGAAUGCGGGAGGGGAGAGCGGAAUUCCCGGUGUAGCGGUGAAAUGCGUAGAUAUCGGGAAGAACACCGGUGGCGAAGGCGGCUCUCUGGACCGUGAUUGACGCUGAGACGCGAAAGCGUGGGGAGC